GAUGAACGCUGACAGCAUGCUUAACACAUGCAAGUCAACUGUGGCGGACGGGUGAGUAACGCGUAAAGAACUUGCCUCACAGAUAGGGACAACAUCUGGAAACGAAUGCUAAUACCAGUUACUGUGAGCGAGCUUUUCGUCCCAUUAGCUAGUUGGAGAGGUAACGGCUCACCAAGGCGAGGAUGGUUGGCCGGCCUGAGAGGGUGACCGGCCACAAGGGGACGGGGACACGGCCCUUAGUCUUACGGGAGGCAGCAGUGGGGAAUAUUGGACAAUGGACCAAAGUCUGAGCCAGUUAUUCUGUGUGCACGAUGAAGUUUUAGGAAUGUAAAGUGCUUUCAGUUGGGAAGCGGUACCAACAGAAGAAGUGACGGCUAAAUACGUGCCAGCCGCCGCGGUAAUUC
RNAcentral lists this ribosomal RNA (404 nucleotides) under uncultured bacterium. Its description in RNAcentral is "partial 16S ribosomal RNA". It matches the Rfam family "Bacterial small subunit ribosomal RNA", at positions 28 to 526 of the family's 1533-position model. The record is from RNAcentral.